RNAcentral lists this ribosomal RNA (301 nucleotides) under uncultured bacterium. RNAcentral describes it as "partial 16S ribosomal RNA". It matches the Rfam family "Bacterial small subunit ribosomal RNA", at positions 509 to 807 of the family's 1533-position model. The record is from RNAcentral.
CAGUCGCCGCGGGAAUACGUAGGGUGCAAGCGUUAAUCGGAAUUACUGGGCGUAAAGCGUGCGCAGGCGGUUUUGUAAGACAGAGGUGAAAUCCCCGGGCUCAACCUGGGAACUGCCCUUGUGACUGCAAGGCUGGAGUGCGGCAGAGGGGGAUGGAAUUCCGCGUGUAGCAGUGAAAUGCGUAGAUAUGCGGAGGAACACCGAUGGCGAAGGCAAUCCCCUGGGCCUGCGCUGACGCUCAUGCACGAAAGCGUGAGGAGCAAACAGGAUUAGAGACCCCUGUAGUCCCUGUCUCUUAUAC